GCUGGGAUUAAGGCCCAGUGGGCAGAGUGCUUGCCUGGCAUGCAUGGGGCCCUGGGUUCAAGCCUCAGCACUGCA
RNAcentral lists this transfer RNA (75 nucleotides) under Mus musculus (house mouse). Its description in RNAcentral is "tRNA-Ala". The record is from RNAcentral. Lineage: Eukaryota; Metazoa; Chordata; Mammalia; Rodentia; Muridae.